UCAGGCAGUUCCUGAGAAGAAGGCUUGGGGGUUUUGGUUGACCUCAGACCAUAGUGAGUCAUCUGGGUGAAGUAGCUGCCAAACGCUAGGCAGACAAGUAGAAACGCAGGUCCCGGAUUAGAGAAGGAAACUUCCCUGCACCUCAGGGCUGAUCAGACCUCAUCCGAGGCUCAGGCAAAUUGGAGAGCUGCCCUGCAGCUGGGGACAGACCUAAGCACGGUUGAUGGACCCUGGAGAAGAGGCAACUGGGGAGAGGUUUUCACAAUACACACCCAACUGGCAUGCAGAUCAUCCUGGAUCAUCGGUGUGGGCCUGAUAUAAUCAUGAAUCCUCAUAAGAAAGAAGGCAAGCACAAAGAGAGAGAGAUUGGAAGAUGCUAUGCUGCUGGCUUUGAAGAUAGAGGAAUGGCCACAAGCCAAGGAAUGCAGCUCUAGAAGCUGAAAAGACAAGAAACAGAUUCUCCCUAAAGCCUCCAGAAGAAAUGCAAGUCUUGUCAACACCUUGAUUUUAGCCCCUGCAGGACUUAUUUUGGACUUCUGACUUCCAACUAUAAGAUAAUAAAAUUGUCCUGUUUUAAGCCACUAAA
Molecule: long non-coding RNA, 586 nt
Organism: Camelus dromedarius (Arabian camel)
Lineage: Eukaryota; Metazoa; Chordata; Mammalia; Artiodactyla; Camelidae
Exons: 2
Source: RefSeq, a predicted model, not a curated record